GUGAGAAGUCUUUUGGUUGCUGCAGCAGUAAGUGCGAAUGAAUGAAAAGAUAAUGACUUACCUCUUCUUAUAUUACACGUGGAGACUAAGGAGCUAUCCUCAAUAUUAUUUAAAACUAUAUAAUAGUAUGUGUUUAUCAUUUGGCAUUUACAAGAGCUCAAAAAGGAAGCAAGUUUUCCCUGUAUUUUAGUAUUUGUGGAAAGAAAGAAAGAGAGAAGGGAAAAGAGGAUCUUCUGAAAAAAAGGACUCAAGAAGGCAAAAUUCGGAGCUUCGUGUUUGGAUCCAUAUUCCAGGCCAGCCUCAAAAUCAGAAAGAUGGAGUUAUGUGCUCCAAUCCGGUGUCACUGGAACUUGUACCUUCAUCUCACUGAGCUUUACUAUUAUCAUUUGGUAUAUACCCUAUGCAUGGAUGGGGAACAUGAGAAAGAGCAGUUUAUGACCAGAGAUACUACUGAAAUCUGGGAUAAUUCCUUUCAGCCAUCUGCAACGGAGAACAGAAAUGAACGCUGAUGUGGUUGCAAGUUUGGAGAUAAGAAGGCAAAGUAGUCUGAAAAAGGGUUGUUUGG
RNAcentral lists this long non-coding RNA (565 nucleotides) under Gallus gallus (chicken). RNAcentral's name for it is "lncRNA (ENSGALG00010009675.1)". The record is from RNAcentral. Lineage: Eukaryota; Metazoa; Chordata; Aves; Galliformes; Phasianidae.